UAGGCGUACGGGUGAGUAACACGUGGAUAAUCUGCCUUUUAGUGGGGAAUACCGUUGGGAAACCGACGACAAUACCGCAUAAGCUCGAGAGAGGAAAGCAGCAAUGCGCUGAAAGAGGAGUCCGCGGUCGAUUAGUUAGUUGGCAGGGUAAAAGCCUACCAAGACUGUGAUCGAUAGCCGGCCUGAGAGGGCACACGGCCACACUGGCACUGAAACACGGGCCAG
Molecule: ribosomal RNA, 225 nt
Filed under: uncultured bacterium
Lineage: Bacteria
Description: partial 16S ribosomal RNA
Rfam family: Bacterial small subunit ribosomal RNA
Source: RNAcentral